This 253-nucleotide ribosomal RNA is filed under the name uncultured bacterium. RNAcentral's name for it is "partial 16S ribosomal RNA". It matches the Rfam family "Bacterial small subunit ribosomal RNA", at positions 524 to 776 of the family's 1533-position model. The record is from RNAcentral.
GACGUAGGGCGCGAGCGUUGUCCGGAUUUAUUGGGCGUAAAGAGCUCGUAGGCGGCUUGUCGCGUCGAAUGUGAAAACCCGGGGCUCAACCCCGGGCCUGCAGUCGAUACGGGCAAACUAGAGUGCGGUAGGGGAGACUGGAAUUCCUGGUGUAGCGGUGAAAUGCGCAGAUAUCAGGAGGAACACCGGUGGCGAAGGCGGGUCUCUGGGCCGUAACUGACGCUGAGGAGCGAAAGCGUGGGGAGCGAACAGG